GGUGUUUUCAGAGUGCGGUUUAUCAAGGAAUUACCAGAGGACCAAAAGUAUCUGUGACUAGUGAGGAAAUGAUGGGAGAAGCCAUCCACAUCCUAUUUCAACGCAAACCUACAUUCUGAUGUACAACAAACUCAAGCCUUCAGGUUGAGUGUAUCAUCUCACCUAUCCCUUGAGGAGCCACUCAAAGAGCAUUGGUUUGGAAGGGGGAAAAGAAAAAAGAAAAAGAAAAGCAAAUCAGAGGACUUGUUCACCCUUCCCUUCCUCAUG
This 267-nucleotide long non-coding RNA is filed under the name Oryctolagus cuniculus (rabbit). RNAcentral describes it as "lncRNA (ENSOCUG00000038563.1)". Lineage: Eukaryota; Metazoa; Chordata; Mammalia; Lagomorpha; Leporidae. The record is from RNAcentral.